GGGUUUACUAACAAUGUUCAAAUGGCUUGAAAUAGAUCAUGAGGUUAGCCUCAGUAUUUGUAAAGCAGUAAAGCUAUCAAAAUAUUGGUCAGCAUAUUAAUUACAUUGCUCCAAUGUCUCGUCUUGGGAGAUAUGUCCCUUUUUUGCCUUUUUUUUUAAUAAGCUGUAGGAGUACUUUCUGAAAGUAUCAGAGUAGUUUCCAGCAACUGGGGUAAUUUUAGGCAUGUAACCAAUAAAUAACCUUUCCACCAGUAUUUUAACUCGUUGACACUUUUAUUCAGUGUGAAUUACACUUUUUUUCUGAGUCAGAGGUAUUCCUGUCGAAAUUUUGUUUUCAUUUUUUUCAAAUUUAGACCAAUUUAAAUAAGAUCAUAAAGUUUUUAGCUUUUUUUCUUUAGUAAAACUUUAAUAUCAUAUGCACUGAAUGUAACUUUUUAAUGUAAAUAUUAUUAAGUAAACAUGAUUAAGUUUGCUUUUCAGUUCAAUAUAUAAAAUGUACUGAGUAUGAUGCAUUACUGAGAAUGGCCUGAGCCUGUAUUCAUAAAAAUACUGAAGUUAAGAUUUCCAUUUAGAGUACCAGUAGACGUCCAUUGCUUUUGAAGAAAAAACUGUCCUUUACGAACAAAUAUAACCUUAAGAUGUGUUAUGCAUACGGGCCCCCAUUUUUCAGCUUUAUAUUAUUUUGUCAGUUUUGUUGACCAAAUAAAGAUAUUGAAGGAGA
RNAcentral lists this long non-coding RNA (721 nucleotides) under Mytilus galloprovincialis (Mediterranean mussel). The record is from RNAcentral. Lineage: Eukaryota; Metazoa; Mollusca; Bivalvia; Mytilida; Mytilidae.